This 614-nucleotide ribosomal RNA is filed under the name uncultured bacterium. RNAcentral describes it as "bacterial SSU rRNA". It matches the Rfam family "Bacterial small subunit ribosomal RNA", at positions 338 to 951 of the family's 1533-position model. The record is from RNAcentral.
CCUACGGGAGGCAGCAGUAAGGAAUAUUGGUCAAUGGAGGCAACUCUGAACCAGCCAUGCCGCGUGCAGGAUGACGGCCCUAUGGGUUGUAAACUGCUUUUGUACCAGAGAAAACCUACUCACGUGUGAGUAGCUGAUAGUAUGGUAAGAAUAAGCAUCGGCUAACUUCGUGCCAGCAGCCGCGGUAAGACGAAGGAUGCAAGCGUUAUCCGGAUUCAUUGGGUUUAAAGGGUGCGUAGGCGGACUUGUAAGUCAGUGGUGAAAUCUCUUCGCUUAACGAAGAAACUGCCAUUGAUACUGCAGGUCUAGAGUAUAGAUGACGUUGGCGGAAUAUGACAUGUAGUGGUGAAAUACUUAGAUAUGUCAUAGAACACCGAUUGCGAAGGCAGCUAACGAAACUAUAACUGACGCUGAGGCACGAAAGUGCGGGGAUCAAACAGGAUUAGAUACCCUGGUAGUCCGCACCGUAAACGAUGAUUACUCGUUGUUGGUCGAUAUGACAGUCAGCGACCAAGCGAAAGCGAUAAGAAUCCACCUGGGGAGUACGCCGGCGAACGUGAAACUCAAAGGAAUUAGACGCGNGAGGAGNGCGACGACGACGACGAGGGAGGAGG